AUGGGUCCGGGCCGUCGCGCGCUGGGUGACCUGUUUGUCCGUUUUACCCCAAACAGACGGGGCCGAACAGAAUGGGGUCGCGCGGUGGAGUUGGCCUCAUGGACCGGCUCCUCGCUUCCCAUGCGCGGGCCAACAGCAGCCCCCGACAGCGGAUCAACACGGGCUUUGUUUAUCCAUGCAAAAAAGAUUAGCGGGGCUCGUGAUCAUGAGCGGCAAAAAAUCAUAGAUGGUGCUUCUGCUGCCUUCUUCUACCUCUUGCUGCUGUCCCUCUGGGUUCAGGAUGCAGCUGCCGCUGGUCUUGGCUUCACACGAAGUGAUUUCCCACGGCGAUUCGUCUUUGGAGCUGGAACCUCGGCAUAUCAAUAUGAGGGUGCUGUUGCUGAGGAUGGCAGGAGCCCAAGCAGCUGGGACACUUUCACUCACGCAGGCAAAAUGCCAGACAAAAGCACGGCAGAUGUUGCUGCAGAUGGGUACCACAAAUACAUGGAGGAUGUCAAGCUCAUGUCUGAGACAGGCCUAGAGGCCUAUAGGUUCUCCAUCUCCUGGUCAAGGCUCAUUCCAAGAAUCCAAGUCCACAUCACACUUCACCAUCUAGAUCUCCCUCAGAUUCUUGAAGACGAGUAUGGUGGAUGGUUAAGCCCCAGAAUUAUCGAAGAUUUCACAGCAUAUGCAGAUGUUUGCUUCAGGGAGUUUGGAGAUAGGGUUGCAUCUUGGACGACAGUGAAUGAGCCAAACAUUGGUAUGAUGGCCUCUUAUGAUGUUGGUAUAUUCCCUCCCGGCUGUUGCUCGGACCCAUUUGGAGCAACAAAGUGCACCGCUGGGGACUCUAGCGUGGAACCAUACAUAGCAGCUCAUAAUACCCUUUUGGCGCAUGCAUCCGUUGCUAGUCUUUACAGAGAAAAAUAUCAACAACUCAGGCUAUCACUCAUGAACUGGUCACCCAUGCAAAACACUCUUGACAAUAUCCAUUUCCGAAAAGCAUCUCCUCGUCGAUUUUGUCAACUGGCAAAAUUAGCACCAUUUUUAGAAGUUGAUACACCAAAGGAAAAGCAAGAUAUUUCUUAG
RNAcentral lists this ribosomal RNA (1065 nucleotides) under Triticum aestivum (bread wheat). Its description in RNAcentral is "partial small subunit ribosomal RNA". The record is from RNAcentral. Lineage: Eukaryota; Viridiplantae; Streptophyta; Magnoliopsida; Poales; Poaceae.